UACGUAGGGGGCAAGCGUUGUCCGGAUUUAUUGGGCGUAAAGAGCGUGUAGGCGGCUAGGUAGGUCCGUUGUGAAAACUCGAGGCUCAACCUCGAGACGUCGAUGGAAACCAUCUGGCUAGAGUCCGGAAGAGGAGAGUGGAAUUCCUGGUGUAGCGGUGAAAUGCGCAGAUAUCAGGAAGAACACCCGUGGCGAAGGCGGCUCUCUGGACAGUUCCUGACGCUGAGGCACGAAGGUCAGGGGAGCAAACGGG
Molecule: ribosomal RNA, 253 nt
Filed under: uncultured bacterium
Lineage: Bacteria
Description: partial 16S ribosomal RNA
Rfam family: Bacterial small subunit ribosomal RNA
Source: RNAcentral